RNAcentral lists this ribosomal RNA (460 nucleotides) under uncultured bacterium. RNAcentral describes it as "partial 16S ribosomal RNA". It matches the Rfam family "Bacterial small subunit ribosomal RNA", at positions 338 to 795 of the family's 1533-position model. The record is from RNAcentral.
CCUACGGGAGGCUGCAGUGAGGAAUAUUGGUCAAUGGACGAGAGUCUGAACCAGCCAAGUAGCGUGAAGGAUGACUGCCCUAUGGGUUGUAAACUUCUUUUAUAAAGGAAUAAAACGAGGCACGUGUGCCUUUUUGCAUGUACUUUAUGAAUAAGGAUCGGCUCACUCCGUGCAAGCAGCCGCGGUAAUACGGAGGAUCCGAGCGUUAUCCGGAUUUAUUGUGUUUAAAGGGAGCGUAGAUGGGUUGUUAAGUCAGUUGUGAAAGUUUGCGGCUUAACCGUAAAAUUGAAAUUGAUACUGGCAGUCUUGAGUACAGUUGAGGUAAGCGGAAGUCGUGGUGUAGCGGUGAAAUGCUUAGAUAUCACGAAGAACCCCGAUUGCGAAGGCAGCUUACUAAACUGUGACUGACAUUGAUGCUCGAAAGUGUGGGUAUCAAACAGGAUUAGAUACCCGAGUAGUC